RNAcentral lists this ribosomal RNA (117 nucleotides) under Sinocyclocheilus grahami. Lineage: Eukaryota; Metazoa; Chordata; Actinopteri; Cypriniformes; Cyprinidae. The record is from RNAcentral.
UAUAGCAGCCAUAUCAUCCUGCAGCCCAAGACUGGUUGCCCACUGAAGCUAAGCAGGGUUGAGCCUGGUCAGUACCUGGGUGGGAGACCUCCUGGGAAAACUAGGUUGCUGUUGGAA